Molecule: long non-coding RNA, 532 nt
Filed under: Oryzias javanicus (javanese ricefish)
Lineage: Eukaryota; Metazoa; Chordata; Actinopteri; Beloniformes; Adrianichthyidae
Description: lncRNA (ENSOJAG00000000594.1)
Source: RNAcentral
AUGGCAUCUGUCUGUUCUCCACUGCUCUUCUGCCCUACACAAACGAGACGGAUGCUCCUCCUUCUGUGGCUUCCUAUGCUGACGUUUAAAUUUACAUUAUUUGCUUGGCAAGAAGAAACAUCUGCUGCUUUCUUUCAUUGGACAGAAGAAGUAACGCUAUUGAUUUGUUGGGAAUACAUUUAUUUUUUUUGUAACCAUUUCUUAAUUUGUUGAUCAAAAUGUGACUCAUUUUAUCCUUAAUCUUUCUACUUUUCCUUUAAAAUCCAUCAACUCUUUUUUUUUGGGACACCAAAAAGCCUUUUAUUUUUGAACUUUUCAUGGAUCAGAGUUGAGUUUUUAUUUUAGGAAUUGAGCACUUGUGAGCGAGACAGAACGCUUUCAUUUUUAAAUUCAUGUUUGUUGUGAAGCCUCUUAUGUUUUGGUGCGAUAUCUGCUUUUUCUACCGCACCGUUCACACUCGGGUGUGUGUGCGGCGUGCAUGCCAGGUUUGCUUCGUGCAUGCUCUCCGUCCGUGUGUGCAUUUUGGAUCGUG